This 255-nucleotide ribosomal RNA is filed under the name uncultured bacterium. RNAcentral's name for it is "partial 16S ribosomal RNA". It matches the Rfam family "Bacterial small subunit ribosomal RNA", at positions 524 to 776 of the family's 1533-position model. The record is from RNAcentral.
UACAGAGGUCUCAAGCGUUUGUUCGGAAUCAUUGGGCGUAAAGGGUGCGUAGGCGGCUUCCUAAGUUUGAUGUGAAAUCCCGGGGCUCAACCCUGGAAUUGCAUUGAAUACUACCUUGCUAGAGUACCGGAGAGGAAACUGGAAUUUACGGUGUAGCAGUGAAAUGCGUAGAGAUCGUAAGGAAGACCAGUGGCGAAGGCGAGUUUCUGGACGGUAACUGACGCUGAGGCACGGAAGGCCAGGGGAGCAAACGGG